ACGUAGGAGGCAAGCGUUAUCCGGAUUUACUGGGCGUAAAGGGCGUGCAGGCGGUUGGCUAAGUUCGUUGUGAAAGCGCCCAGGCUUAACCGGGCGAGGACAAUGAAGACUGGUCAGCUAGAGGACGGUAGAGGGGUGUGGAAUUCCCGGUGUAGUGGUGGAAUGCGUAGAGAUCGGGAGGAACACCAGUGGCGAAAGCGGCACCCUGGCAUUGGCCUGACGCUGAGGUGCGAAAGCGUGGGGAGCAAACGG
This 252-nucleotide ribosomal RNA is filed under the name uncultured prokaryote. RNAcentral's name for it is "partial 16S ribosomal RNA". It matches the Rfam family "Bacterial small subunit ribosomal RNA", at positions 525 to 775 of the family's 1533-position model. The record is from RNAcentral.